This 300-nucleotide long non-coding RNA is filed under the name Dermacentor andersoni. RNAcentral's name for it is "uncharacterized LOC126524042". Lineage: Eukaryota; Metazoa; Arthropoda; Arachnida; Ixodida; Ixodidae. The record is from RNAcentral.
UAAUAAAGUUAUUCGCUUAUUUAAAAGGACAGGUGCAGGAAGGUGCGCUGCUUGUGGCAUCGCCGAAACUGGAGCCGUGUUCCGUGUCGGCGCCACCAGGUGUCCUCCUCGCCAGUUCAACAAGACAACGAGUGCGUGGAGCCGACUACCGUGCGAGUCCCGGCGCCGACAGACAUCCUCCUAGAAAGCUGAAGCAGGCGAGUGCAGCCGUGUUCUUCACGUUUUAAGGUGUGCGUGGCGUUGGAUCCUCAAGCCGGCCUCCCGUCAGUCCCUGCGCCAGCAGACGUUCUCCUACCGGUG